AGUGACUGAUUUUAAGUAAUGGGGAGAGAUUAAUCCAGUUGGUGAAGGAAUGUCACAUGUGCCCCGGUGGGCCAGAGGGGACUACUCUGUUUCUCUUCUCUACCAUGCCUGAGGACAAAGUGAGAGAAUUUAUGCCAUUUUCUUCUAGGCUGAAGGAAAUUCAUGAUGACCAUAUACUUAAUCUCCACAAAUUAGCAGUUGCACUCAACAGGAUUAAGAGACCCCAAGAUUCUGAGGAAAUGGAUUCAGGAAAGCCUUGGGCAGGAAUGGUACUCUUGAUUCGAUGACUGUUAACAGAGGAAAAGAGGAAGGAAGAUGUUGCAACAUGACAGGAAAUUGAAUAGAAUAUACAUCAUGGUGCGAACGAGGCUGCCGAACAACCUUGUGAGGGAGAAAGAACAUGUUUUGUUAUUGCCAUUAUUCAAUCGAGGAAAAUAAAACGAGGAGGUGUAAAGUGAUUUGUCCAUACAAGCAAUUUGUAAGUGUAUCAAUGCAUUAUGGUGUGGAAGCUGCUGGAUUCCUGCGGUGUUUCAUUCAUGACAACGGUGAUGGCUAUUUGGACUGGAAUUUUUUCAUCAGUUGCUGUUCAAUGAUGAAUUAUUUGAAGGACAUAUUGGUCCCUUUUAGAGAAGACUUUAAAUGCUCUGCAGUGAGGACAUCACAUGAGGUCUAUGGAUGGUGUUUGGACAGAUGUCAAGAAGAGGACUGAAAGAAGUCAGAGAAGAGAAAUAAAUUCCAUGUUCAAUUGUUUCA
Molecule: long non-coding RNA, 753 nt
Filed under: Monodelphis domestica (gray short-tailed opossum)
Lineage: Eukaryota; Metazoa; Chordata; Mammalia; Didelphimorphia; Didelphidae
Description: lncRNA (ENSMODG00000050962.1)
Source: RNAcentral